UACGGGGGGGGCAAGCGUUGUUCGGAAUUACUGGGCGUAAAGGGCUCGUAGGCGGCCAACUAAGUCGGACGUGAAAUCCCCAGGCUCAACCUGGGAACUGCGUCUGAUACUGGAUGGCUUGAAUCCGGGAGAGGGAUGCAGAAUUCCAGGUGUAGCGGUGAAAUGCGUAGAUAUCGGAAGGAACGCCGGUGGCGAAAGCGACGUGCUGGACCUCUUCUGACGCUGAGGCGCGAAAGCUAGGGGAGCAAACGGG
This 253-nucleotide ribosomal RNA is filed under the name uncultured bacterium. RNAcentral describes it as "partial 16S ribosomal RNA". It matches the Rfam family "Bacterial small subunit ribosomal RNA", at positions 524 to 776 of the family's 1533-position model. The record is from RNAcentral.